Non-coding RNA from Prunus mume (Japanese apricot), 663 nucleotides. Lineage: Eukaryota; Viridiplantae; Streptophyta; Magnoliopsida; Rosales; Rosaceae. The record is from RefSeq and is a predicted model, not a curated record.
UUUAAGUUACUCUGCUGCCUCUCUUUACCAAAAGGGCUAAAAGGCAUCUUCUUGGUUUUUAAACAGUAUGGAAGAAUCUGUUAAGCUCAGGAGGGAUAGCGCCAUUCUUGGUUUGGUUUUAGACCAUGUAUUGCGCUAUCCAUCCUGAGUUUCAUGGCUUCUUCUUGCUCUCUCUCUCUCUCUCUCUCUCUCUCUCUCUCUCUCUCUCUCUCUUCUUUGCAGCCAAGCCAAGGGAUUGAAACUUGUGGCCUUGUUGUUGCAAUAUCGGGAAUGAAUGAGAGGAUUGAGAUGAGGGCCAACCAUGAGUAGAAUUAGUAGCCAAGGCUCUUUGGUCAAGCAGAUUUUUACACUGUGAAACACUUACAUGAAACGAAGAUAUCACCAUUUUGAUAUUCCUAGCCAGUAUGUCACGAGUGAUAAUUUCGAUUGAUCGGGUAUAUCAAAACAGUGCUAUUCCUGUUUCAUACAAGUUUGGGUAUAGCAAAACAGUGCUAUUCCCGUUCUAUACAAGUUUUUUUUGUAAUUUGAGAGCUUUGGCAGAAGCUUCACUUGUCCAAUCUACCUGUUCAAGUUUGACUUAAUGUACCACAAGGUGGAAGGAAAAGUACUUCUUUUUAUGCAUUGUACUGGAUAUGAAAUCAAUUUUAGUUAUGGACCUACCAA